Molecule: ribosomal RNA, 483 nt
Filed under: uncultured bacterium
Lineage: Bacteria
Description: partial 16S ribosomal RNA
Rfam family: Bacterial small subunit ribosomal RNA
Source: RNAcentral
GACGUACGCUGGCGGCGUGCUUAACACAUGCAAGUCGAACGCUGAAGCUCAGCUUUUGUUGGGUGGAUGAGUGGCGAACGGGUGAGUAACACGUGAGUAACCUGCCUCCUUCUUUGGGAUAACGCCCGGAAACGGGUGCUAAUACUGGAUAUUCACUGGUCUUCGCAUGGGGGUUGGUGGAAAGGGUUUUUCUGGUGGGGGAUGGGCUCGCGGCCUAUCAGCUUGUUGGUGGGGUGAUGGCCUACCAAGGCUUUGACGGGUAGCCGGCCUGAGAGGGUGACCGGUCACAUUGGGACUGAGAUACGGCCCAGACUCCUACGGGAGGCAGCAGUGGGGAAUAUUGCACAAUGGGCGCAAGCCUGAUGCAGCGACGCCGCGUGAGGGAUGGAGGCCUUCGGGUUGUGAACCUCUUUCGCUCAUGGUCAAGCCGCAACAAUGGUUGUGGUGAGGGUAGUGGGUAAAGAAGCGCCGGCUAACUACGUG